Molecule: ribosomal RNA, 1501 nt
Filed under: Ruminococcus sp. A254.MGS-254
Lineage: Bacteria; Bacillati; Bacillota; Clostridia; Eubacteriales; Oscillospiraceae
Description: bacterial LSU rRNA
Rfam family: Bacterial large subunit ribosomal RNA
Source: RNAcentral
AAGACAACCAGGAUGUUGGCUCAGAAGCAGCCAUACAUUCAAAGAGUGCGUAAUAGCUCACUGGUCGAGAGGUCCUGCGCCGAAAAUGUCCGGGGCUGAAACACGACACCGAAGCUGAGGAAUGUCUGAAGACAUUGGUAGAGGAGCAUUGGAUACGCAACGAAGCAGUACCGGAAGGAGCUGUGGAGUGUAUCGAAGAGAGAAUGCCGGAAUGAGUAGCGAGAGAGAGGUGGGAAUCCUCUCGGCCGAAUAUCUAAGGUUUCCAGGGUAAAGCUGAUCUGCCCUGGGUAAGUCGGGGCCUAAGGCGAGGACGAGAGUCGUAGCCGAUGGACAACAGGUUGAGAUUCCUGUACUGCAGUAAGACAGAACUGUGGGGACACGUGUGGAGAGCAUAGGCGCGGAAUGGAAAGCCGCGUGCAAGCGAGGUAGGAGUCCUGUAGGAAAAACCGCAGGGCAAUCCGAAGGCGUGAUGCGGACCGAAAUCUAGUAGGGAAGUAUGUGAGCCAUGCGUCAAGAAAAGCCGCUAUUGUUCUUAUUGUACCCGUACCGUAAACCGACACAGGUGGAUGAGGAGAGAAUCCUAAGGCCGACGGAAGAAGCAUUGUUAAGGAACUCGGCAAAAUGACCCCGUAACUUCGGGAGAAGGGGUGCCACAGAAAUGUGGCCGCAGAGAAUAGGCUCAAGCAACUGUUUAGCAAAAACACAGGUCUAUGCAAAACCGAAAGGUGAGGUAUAUGGGCUGACGCCUGCCCGGUGCUGGAAGGUUAAGAGGAGAGGUUAGCGCAAGCGAAGCUUUGAAUUGAAGCCCCAGUAAACGGCGGCCGUAACUAUAACGGUCCUAAGGUAGCGAAAUUCCUUGUCGGGUAAGUUCCGACCCGCACGAAAGGCGUAAUGAUUUGAGCGCUGUCUCGACAAUGCAUCCGGUGAAAUUGAAGUACCAGUGAAGAUGCUGGUUACCUGCGCCAGGACGGAAAGACCCCAUGGAGCUUUACUCCAGCUUGAUACUGGGAUUCGGUAUUGCAUGUACAGGAUAGGUGGGAGGCUAUGAAUCGGUAACGCCAGUUGCCGAGGAGCCAUUGUUGGGAUACCACCCUUGCAGUACUGGGUUUCUAACCAGCAGCCGUGACCCGGCUGGGGGACAAUGUCAGGUGGGGAGUUUGACUGGGGCGGUCGCCUCCGAAAGGGUAUCGGAGGCGCUCAAAGGUUCCCUCAGAAUGGUUGGAAACCAUUCGAAGAGUGCAAAGGCAGAAGGGAGCUUGACUGCGACACCGACGGGUGGAGCAGGUACGAAAGUAGGACUUAGUGAUCCGGUGGUAUUAAGUGGGAAUGCCAUCGCUCAACGGAUAAAAGCUACCCUGGGGAUAACAGGCUUAUCACUCCCAAGAGUUCACAUCGACGGAGUGGUUUGGCACCUCGAUGUCGGCUCAUCGCAUCCUGGGGCUGUAGUAGGUCCCAAGGGUUGGGCUGUUCGCCCAUUAAAGCGGUACGCGAGCUGGGUUCA